UUCAUAAUUUACUGAGUUUUCAUUGCACAGCUAUUAAUGAAAAUUCCAUGUAACAACCUGGCAGCUAUUUUUCAAUGAGUGUUUUUUUGUUCUUUUAGGAGGCAACGCCCUUGCAUUUUAUGAAGGGAAUAUAUGAGACCUUCUGUUCCCAGAAUACAAGCUGACUCCUGCAUGUCCUGGUGUGGAUAGGGAAUUACUGAUGAAAACUUCUCCUCAUUUUCCAGGCCGAAAGAGAACAAGGAAUCAAAGAUCUGCAUCUGCAUCACCAAAACGGAGGAACCGAUCACUAACACAAUGCAAGACAUCAGUGAAAGAAGAAAAAAAAAUAUGGAAGGUAUACGAGGUCCUAAAAAUCACAAGCUCCUUCUCUAAAUGCUGGAGAUCACUUCUGUGAACUCCGCAGAGAAAAUCAGCAGGAGCCAUCAAGACUGCGCCUGGAGUCUGCUGAGUGCAAAUCAGAAAAUGAGAACAGGCCACCAUUUGUAGUCUGACAUGUGAGUCCUAAAAUUGCCAUACUGCAUUAAGAACAUGAAUUUUUGCUAGUAUUAAUUUCAGCAUUUUUGUCUAUCCUGAUCAGCAGAACACUGAAGAAAUUUAGCAACGAAUUUGAAAAUAUGAAUGGAAAUGGUUUUUUGUUCAGUAUGUAAUUGGCCUGUCAAACUCACCAGCAGCUGGUGGAAAUCAGGUUGGUCAGUUAACAGCAUUCAGGAAAGGAAAAGAUAUUUCAAAGAAUUCAAAGACAUGUUUAGAUACUGUAAAAAUAUAAUACAUUUUAACUCCCCCCUUUUCUUCCGGGCAUAAACCAAUCCGUGCAUUUCUGCACUUGAUAAAGAAUCUGUGGGCAGUUUAUUUCAUAUUUUUGAGAUAGUCCUUCUGCUUCCUUCUGAGAUCUCUGUGACUGAGGCCAGUGAACUGAGGUACCUGCUGAUAUGGCAGUGAUUAUCAGUCCCUGUGGUUCUACUUAGAUGCAUCAAAGUCUUUUGUUAGUCACUGAAGACAGUGGAGAGUGUUUCUGGGAUUUCACCAAUAAAUGUUUGCAUUUAGCCA
RNAcentral lists this long non-coding RNA (1047 nucleotides) under Calidris pygmaea (Spoon-billed sandpiper). RNAcentral describes it as "lncRNA (ENSCPGG00000017787.1)". Lineage: Eukaryota; Metazoa; Chordata; Aves; Charadriiformes; Scolopacidae. The record is from RNAcentral.